GACGAACGCUGGCGGCGUGCUUAACACAUGCAAGUCGAACGGAAAGGCCCUGCUUUUGUGGGGUGCUCGAGUGGCGAACGGGUGAGUAACACGUGAGUAACCUGCCCUUGACUUUGGGAUAACUCCAGGAAACUGGGGCUAAUACCGGAUAGGAGCUCCUGCUGCAUGGUGGGGGUUGGAAAGUUUCGGUGGUUGGGGAUGGACUCGCGGCUUAUCAGCUUGUUGGUGGGGUAGUGGCUUACCAAGGCUUUGACGGGUAGCCGGCCUGAGAGGGUGACCGGCCACAUUGGGACUGAGAUACGGCCCAGACUCCUACGGGAGGCAGCAGUGGGGAAUAUUGCACAAUGGGCGGAAGCCUGAUGCAGCAACGCCGCGUGCGGGAUGACGGCCUUCGGGUUGUAAACCGCUUUCGCCUGUGACGAAGCGUGAGUGACGGUAAUGGGUAAAGAAGCACCGGCUAACUACGUG
Molecule: ribosomal RNA, 468 nt
Filed under: uncultured bacterium
Lineage: Bacteria
Description: partial 16S ribosomal RNA
Rfam family: Bacterial small subunit ribosomal RNA
Source: RNAcentral